UACGUAGGGUGCGAGCGUUGUCCGGAAUUAUUGGGCGUAAAGAGCUCGUAGGCGGCCUGUCGCGUCGAUCGUGAAAACUUGGGGCUUAACCCUGAGCUUGCGGUCGAUACGGGCAUGACUUGAGUUCGGCAGGGGAGACUGGAAUUCCUGGUGUAGCGGUGAAAUGCGCAGAUAUCAGGAGGAACACCGGUGGCGAAGGCGGGUCUCUGGGCCGAUACUGACGCUGAGGAGCGAAAGCGUGGGGAGCGAACAGG
This 254-nucleotide ribosomal RNA is filed under the name uncultured bacterium. RNAcentral describes it as "partial 16S ribosomal RNA". It matches the Rfam family "Bacterial small subunit ribosomal RNA", at positions 524 to 776 of the family's 1533-position model. The record is from RNAcentral.